Molecule: ribosomal RNA, 377 nt
Filed under: uncultured bacterium
Lineage: Bacteria
Description: bacterial SSU rRNA
Rfam family: Bacterial small subunit ribosomal RNA
Source: RNAcentral
AUACGUAGGGGGCGAGCGUUGUCCGGAAUCACUGGGCGUAAAGGGUGCGUAGGCGGCAUAAUAAGUCAGAUGUGAAAUCCCAGGGCUUAACCCUGGAGUUGCAUUUGAAACUGUGAUGCUUGAGUGCAGGAGAGGGAAGCGGAAUUCCUAGUGUAGCGGUGAAAUGCGUAGAGAUUAGGAGGAACACCAGUGGCGAAGGCGGCUUUCUGGACUGUAACUGACGCUGAGGCACGAAAGCGUGGGGAGCGAACAGGAUUAGAUACCCUGGUAGUCCACGCCGUAAACGAUGGAUACUAGGUGUAGGCGGUUUCAAUACUGUCUGUGCCGUAGUUAACGCAAUAAGUAUCCCGCCUGGGGAGUACGGCCGCAAGGCUGAA